GAUGAACGCUGGCGGCGUGCUUAACACAUGCAAGUCGAACGGAAAGGCCCAAGCUUGCUUGGGUACUCGAGUGGCGAACGGGCGAGUAACACGUGGGUGAUCUGCCCUGCACUUCGGGAUAAGCCUGGGAAACUGGGUCUAAUACCGGAUAGGACCACUUCUUGGAUGUUGUGGUGGAAAGUUUUUUCGGUGUGGGAUGAGCUCGCGGCCUAUCAGCUUGUUGGUGGGGUAAUGGCCUACCAAGGCGUCGACGGGUAGCCGGCCUGAGAGGGUGUACGGCCACAUUGGGACUGAGAUACGGCCCAGACUCCUACGGGAGGCAGCAGUGGGGAAUAUUGCACAAUGGGCGCAAGCCUGAUGCAGCGACGCCGCGUGGGGGAUGACGGCCUUCGGGUUGUAAACUCCUUUCGCUAGGGACGAAGCGUUUUGUGACGGUACCUGGAGAAGAAGCACCGGCUAACUACGUG
This 467-nucleotide ribosomal RNA is filed under the name uncultured bacterium. RNAcentral's name for it is "partial 16S ribosomal RNA". It matches the Rfam family "Bacterial small subunit ribosomal RNA", at positions 28 to 507 of the family's 1533-position model. The record is from RNAcentral.